GUUAGGGUUUGGAAAUGCCUAGAGCAGAAAGGACCCUACUGAGGGGCGACUUGCUUCUGAUGAGGAGAUCUCACUCCAAUGAAGAAUCUGAUGUUCAACCCUUAUUCUUUGUCAGAUCUGACAGUUCCCUGAUUUCAAGCAGGAGAUGGAACUCCUGCUUAUCGAACAUUGAAUCAAUGAUUUACCACAUUCGCAAUAGCGACGUUAAAGGAGAGGAACAGGUCGAGCAGGCAUUCGGCCUUGUUGACUCAUCCAGAUCAGUGACUUUGCCAACAAGCUUAAUCUAUCGCCGGCGUUGGUAAUCACAUUCAGAGGGGAAUUCCCGAAAAGACCCUUGAUUAAGGAUGAUGAAGGGCGUUCAUGGAUGGUACGAUAGAGAAAACUGGCUAGGUGAAGCUUCAUACACAAUGAUUGGCAAACGGUCGUGAAGGAUAACCAAUUACAUUUGGUGACUUCUUGGUUUUCAAUUUGGCUUCCAAUUCUGUGUUCAACGUCGUGGCAUAUAGUCCAAGUUGCUGCGAAAAGAGGCUGAUUUUGUUUUUAUGCGGGUAUAUGGCCAUGAAUUGAGAGAAGCUGAUUUUUAUGUGGGUUUAGGGCUGAAAAUUUAAUUCUUACUGAUGGUGAGAUCCUAGAGUUGGCGUCUGUCUGUCUUAACUUUCAGUGAUCUUGAAUGGGAAAUUUGUAUCUAUACAUGAAAUCUUUUGAAGAGGCCAAGAAUUAUAUUUUGUGUUUAUGCUGACAUACCAAACAAUGGCUUCAAAUAGCUAAUUGAUUCUUAUUGACAGUGAGAUAUCUGUGUUAAUGUCUGUCUAACUUUUUGAUGGCCAUGAAUGGGAAAAUAUGAAUGGUUUUGUAGAUGCCAUGAAUUGAUGAAUGACUACUUUUGCCCAGGUUAAUGUUUUACUAUCUGUGGGCAGGCUUUCUCACAAUAUUUGCAGUUUUCCCUGAAAAAGAAGAAAAAAAAAAAAAAAGCAGGAAAGAUAAAAAAAAAUUAAAAGCAAAUCCUGUAAGUACUAUGAUGAGUUAAAACUUUUAGCCAUGCAGGACCUGUUGGAUUCAUAAUUCAAAAGGGUUUUUGACCAAAAAAAUAAUGAUACCAUUCUAUUUACAAAUUUAGCUGCAUCACUAGUACUUGACAGCAAAUCAUUGAUUUGAGUAAUGAAAUUUUCAAUGUUUCAGUUCCAGUGAAAGCUUAGAUGACUGACUGGAAAAAGUUGAUCCAUGAAUGGAAGAAACUCAUCACGAGCAUAUGAAAUCAUAUUGGAUGACUUUAAAGAAUUAUCAGAGAUGAUGUGGAUACGGUUGCUCCCAGCAUGACUAUGAAUAUCUGUUAUGGGAUGCAUCAUAUUACCAAUGGUGGCAAACCAAGCCUUCCGUAACUGCUGGUCCUCCUAAGGCUACAAUCAAUUGCCCCCAUGACAAGAGCUUUUCACCUCGAUAGAGCAAUCUUCGUCUAGUAGUUGCAUUUAGUUCCAUGCUUCCAUUUUGUUAGUUCCUUCCAGACAUUGAAAUAAACUGUUAGCCUGGACACUCCCAGGUUAUAGGCACUUCCAAAUGCUCGGCUACUAAAGUUUGUCCCCGACAGGACCUUAACAA
Molecule: long non-coding RNA, 1596 nt
Organism: Diospyros lotus (date-plum)
Lineage: Eukaryota; Viridiplantae; Streptophyta; Magnoliopsida; Ericales; Ebenaceae
Exons: 4
Source: RefSeq, a predicted model, not a curated record